RNAcentral lists this ribosomal RNA (117 nucleotides) under Paramormyrops kingsleyae. Lineage: Eukaryota; Metazoa; Chordata; Actinopteri; Osteoglossiformes; Mormyridae. The record is from RNAcentral.
GUCAGCAGCCAUACAACCUCCACUUCAGCUUAAAUAAUCUAGCUGAAGCGAAGCAGGUUUGGGCCUGGCCAGUAUCUGGAUGGCAGACCAACUACGAAAGCUGGGUUGCUGCUGGAA